CUUGGCUCAGGAUGAAACGCUAGCGGGCAGGCUUAAUACAUGCAAGUCGUGGGGCAGCAUGAGUAGCAAUACUUGAUGGCGACCGGCAAACGGGUGAGGAACACGUACACAACCUUCCUUCAAGCGGGGAAUAGCCCAGAGAAAUUUGGAUUAAUACCCAUAAUAUAUUUGAUAAGGCAUCUUUAUUAAUAUUAAAGCUUCGGCACUUGAUGAUGGGUGUGCGGCUGAUUAGAUAGUUGGCGGGGUAACGGCCCACCAAGUCUACGAUCAGUAGCUGAUGUGAGAGCAUGAUCAGCCACACGGGCACUGAGACACGGGCCCGACUCCUACGGGAGGCAGCAGUAAGGAAUAUUGGACAAUGGACGAAAGUCUGAUCCAGCCAUGCCGCGUGAAGGAUUAAGGUCCUCUGGAUUGUAAACUUCUUUUAUAUGGGACGAAAAAAGGGCAUUCUUGUUCACUUGACGGUACCAUAUGAAUAAGCACCGGCUAACUCCGUG
This 497-nucleotide ribosomal RNA is filed under the name uncultured bacterium. Its description in RNAcentral is "bacterial SSU rRNA". It matches the Rfam family "Bacterial small subunit ribosomal RNA", at positions 18 to 507 of the family's 1533-position model. The record is from RNAcentral.